RNAcentral lists this ribosomal RNA (196 nucleotides) under Discoba sp. RNAcentral describes it as "partial small subunit ribosomal RNA". It matches the Rfam family "Eukaryotic small subunit ribosomal RNA", at positions 1296 to 1460 of the family's 1831-position model. The record is from RNAcentral.
GGUUGGUGGAGUGAUUUGUCUGCUUAAUUGCGAUAACGAACGAGAUCUCUGCCAAUAAAUAGAUGCUGUUUCCACUUUGUAGGCCGGUGGGUGGUUCAAGCUUGCUUGACCACUAUUCUCCGUGCUGAGGAGACAGAGUUUUACUUAUUGGGAUUAUGCAUCCUCUAAAUGCAUUGAGACGAGAGCCAAUAGCAGG